Molecule: microRNA precursor, 105 nt
Filed under: Canis lupus familiaris (dog)
Lineage: Eukaryota; Metazoa; Chordata; Mammalia; Carnivora; Canidae
Also listed under: 1 other name
Description: mir-8834 microRNA precursor family
Rfam family: mir-8834 microRNA precursor family
Source: Rfam by way of RNAcentral
AGGAGGAACAACCGCAGUGGCGGGGCCAGCUCUGGAAACCUGGAUUCAGCCCCUGCAGGAACUCUGGAGCUCUCCGUCUGCAGGGCCUGGAGGCUCCGGGGCGGG